AGUGAACGCUGGCGGUAGGCCUAACACAUGCAAGUCGAACGGCAGCACAGUAAGAGCUUGCUCUUACGGGUGGCGAGUGGCGGACGGGUGAGGAAUACAUCGGAAUCUACUUUUUCGUGGGGGAUAACGUAGGGAAACUUACGCUAAUACCGCAUACGCCCUACGGGUGAAAGCAGGGGAUCUUCGGACCUGGCGCGUUGGAAUGAGCCGAUGUCGGAUUAGCUAGUUGGCGGGGUAAUGGCCUACCAAGGCGUUGAUGGGUAGCUGGUAUGAGAGGGUGACCGGCCACAUUGGGACUGAGAUAAGGCACAGACUCCUACGGGGGGCAGAAGUGGGGAAUAUUGCACAAUGGGCGGAAGCCUAAUGCAGCAACGCCGCGUGCGGGAUGACGGCCUUCGGGUUGUAAACCGCUUUCGCCUGUGACGAAGCGUGAGUGACGGUAAUGGGUAAAGAAGCACCGGCUAGCUACGUG
This 472-nucleotide ribosomal RNA is filed under the name uncultured bacterium. Its description in RNAcentral is "partial 16S ribosomal RNA". It matches the Rfam family "Bacterial small subunit ribosomal RNA", at positions 30 to 507 of the family's 1533-position model. The record is from RNAcentral.